UCAGAUUGACGCUGGCGGCAGGCCUAACACAUGCAAGUCGAGCGGAUGAAAGGAGCUUGCUCCUGGAUUCAGCGGCGGACGGGUGAGUAAUGCCUAGGAAUCUGCCUGGUAGUGGGGGACAACGUUUCGAAAGGAACGCUAAUACCGCAUACGUCCUACGGGAGAAAGCAGGGGACCUUCGGGCCUUGCGCUAUCAGAUGAGCCUAGGUCGGAUUAGCUAGUUGGUGAGGUAAUGGCUCACCAAGGCGACGAUCCGUAACUGGUCUGAGAGGAUGAUCAGUCACACUGGAACUGAGACACGGUCCAGACUCCUACGGGAGGCAGCAGUGGGGAAUAUUGGACAAUGGGCGAAAGCCUGAUCCAGCCAUGCCGCGUGUGUGAAGAAGGUCUUCGGAUUGUAAAGCACUUUAAGUUGGGAGGAAGGGCAGUACAUUAAUACUGUGCUGUUUUGACGUUACCGACAGAAUAAGCACCGGCUAACUCUGUGCCAGCAGCCGCGGUAAUACAGAGGGUGCAAGCGUUAAUCGGAAUUACUGGGCGUAAAGCGCGCGUAGGUGGUUUGUUAAGUUGGAUGUGAAAUCCCCGGGCUCAACCUGGGAACUGCAUUCAAAACUGACAAGCUAGAGUAUGGUAGAGGGUGGUGGAAUUUCCUGUGUAGCGGUGAAAUGCGUAGAUAUAGGAAGGAACACCAGUGGCGAAGGCGACCACCUGGACUGAUACUGACACUGAGGUGCGAAAGCGUGGGGAGCAAACGAGGAUUAGAUACCCUGGUAGUCCACGCCGUAAACGAUGUCAACUAAGCCGUUGGG
RNAcentral lists this ribosomal RNA (809 nucleotides) under Pseudomonas sp. RNAcentral describes it as "bacterial SSU rRNA". It matches the Rfam family "Bacterial small subunit ribosomal RNA", at positions 24 to 828 of the family's 1533-position model. The record is from RNAcentral. Lineage: Bacteria; Pseudomonadati; Pseudomonadota; Gammaproteobacteria; Pseudomonadales; Pseudomonadaceae.